CUUCGAAGGAGCAACCAGAGAGAAGCAGAAACCCACAUUUUCAUAAAUAGCCCAGCUGUGUCAAAAUGUGCUAGAAACCCACCUUAAACGUGAGUGUUGCUUUUUACAAUGUAAACUGAAAGUUUUAGUGCCUUUCUUUUUCCUCUCCUGAUAUGGACCUGCAAUGGCAGAAAGAGUGUGGUUUUGAGAAUGCAAGCAAAUCUCCUUUUUGAUGACACCGACUUUGUCAGUUUUCUCAUUGGAAAAUGGGGCAGUGGCUGAGAGCUGUCCCUGAAAGAACUGAUUUCCACACGUUCAGAAACUGAUGCCAAGAAGAGGUUCACACUAUACCCACGAUUUGGAACGUCAGCUGGGAGCUUCCCACACCAGCAUCUCAUUUCAUUUUCAAGAGUGUCAUUGAGUUCCCGCGUGCCCACCACAGCACCGAUUCCUCUAGCCCUUUCCAGACAAGCUCUUCAGCACUCUUCAGUGUCUUCCCACCAUCAACAGUGCUGUUGGGAGCUCCCCUAGUGGACUGUUGCCCAUAUAAAGCCCUUCAAGGCGCUGUUAUAUCAAAGGAUUUGUGUGGACAAGCUUCAGGGAUGCAUCUGGGACAAGGCUUUUGCUGGACCUCUCGGUCCUGGGGCCUAGAGUCAGUCACGACAAAGAAGAAAGCCUGCAACAAUUGGGAAAGUCUUUGCAGGGGAGUAAGAAGGGACAGUGCUAGCCUUCCCACUGCAUUGCAAGCUCUCCUCUACAUGGGACCAGAUCAGGGCCAGGCUGUCUUCAUUGUGACGGGUGGAUUUCAGAAUUUGUAGAAUUGUGGACCUGGGAAUCUCAGGAGAGAAGCAGGUGCCAAAGGCAUUUCUAUCAUUGCAAAGCUGAUCACGUCUAUAAUUUUCCACAGCAUCUCUCUAUGAGAUCAGGUACAAGGAGAUUUCACAGUCUGGGAGGAACCUGCCGGAAAUGCAGCCCCGUGGCUUCCUGUUCUCUUCAUGGGAAGGCAUUGUCAUCAUAGCUUCCAUUUUUGCCUCUGCUCUUGUUAUUAUAUAUUCAAAGUAUUAUACCAACAUCCCUGAUGUGU
This 1063-nucleotide long non-coding RNA is filed under the name Homo sapiens (human). RNAcentral's name for it is "HSALNT0402253". Lineage: Eukaryota; Metazoa; Chordata; Mammalia; Primates; Hominidae. The record is from RNAcentral.